AUUACAUCAACAUAAAGGUCACAGCAAUAAAGGAGCUCCAACUUUGAUGCUAAUGAGGACCCAUUGGGAGGCUGAGGAGGGAGCCUUGCUGUAGGAGAUGAAUCUGCUCAUUGCGUUCCUGCUGUUUCUGCACAGAGUGGGCCUGUUCCUGGCUGCACAGGGUCCAGUUUCUACGUGGGAUGCCUACCACAGCAUGGCGUGCCAAGUGGUGCCAUGCCCACACCCGGGAUCCGAACUGGUGAACCCUGGGCUGCGGAAGCAGAAUGUGCGAACUUAACCGCUGUGCCACCGGGCUGGCCCCCUACCACCUGUCUUUUGACUCAGCCAAACUAACAAAUUAAAUUCCAUUCCUUUCUAUUUAACUCAAGUCAAC
Molecule: long non-coding RNA, 373 nt
Filed under: Equus asinus (donkey)
Lineage: Eukaryota; Metazoa; Chordata; Mammalia; Perissodactyla; Equidae
Description: lncRNA (ENSEASG00005031735.1)
Source: RNAcentral